RNAcentral lists this ribosomal RNA (445 nucleotides) under uncultured bacterium. RNAcentral describes it as "partial 16S ribosomal RNA". It matches the Rfam family "Bacterial small subunit ribosomal RNA", at positions 354 to 796 of the family's 1533-position model. The record is from RNAcentral.
GUGAGGAAUAUUGCGCAAUGGAGGCAACUCUGACGCAGCCAUGCCGCGUGCAGGAAGAAGGCGCUACGCGUUGUAAACUGCUUUUAACCGGGAAGAAACCCCAGGACGUGUCCUGGGUUGACGGUACCGGAGGAAUAAGCACCGGCUAACUUCGUGCCAGCAGCCGCGGUAAUACGAAGGGUGCAAGCGUUAUCCGGAUUCAUUGUGUUUAAAGGGUGCGUAGGCGGAGCGUUAAGUCAUUGGUGAAAUCCUGCAGCUUAACUGUAGACUUGCCAUUGAUACUGGCGCUCUUGAGUGCGCUUGAAGUGGGCGGAAUGUGCCGUGUAGCGGUGAAAUGCUUAGAUAUGGCACAGAACACCAAUUGCGAAGGCAGCUCACUAAGGCGAUACUGACGCUGAGGCACGAAAGCGUGGGGAUCGAACAGGAUUAGAAACCCUAGUAGUCC